AGCAGUAGCCGCGGGAAUACGUAGGGUGCAAGCGUUAAUCGGAAUUACUGGGCGUAAAGCGUGCGCAGGCGGUUUGUUAAGACAGAUGUGAAAUCCCCGGGCUCAACCUGGGAACUGCAUUUGUGACUGGCAAGCUAGAGUGUGGCAGAGGGGGGUGGAAUUCCGCGUGUAGCAGUGAAAUGCGUAGAUAUGCGGAGGAACACCGAUGGCGAAGGCAGCCCCCUGGGCCAACACUGACGCUCAUGCACGAAAGCGUGGGGAGCAAACAGGAUUAGAGACCCCAGUAGUCCCUGUCUCUUAUAC
This 303-nucleotide ribosomal RNA is filed under the name uncultured bacterium. Its description in RNAcentral is "partial 16S ribosomal RNA". It matches the Rfam family "Bacterial small subunit ribosomal RNA", at positions 507 to 807 of the family's 1533-position model. The record is from RNAcentral.